Non-coding RNA from Rhineura floridana, 393 nucleotides. The record is from the annotation of a RefSeq genome assembly. Lineage: Eukaryota; Metazoa; Chordata; Lepidosauria; Squamata; Rhineuridae.
AUGACUGCUGCUGUUUUCAUUUUUAACAUUUCCUUUGCAGGGGUCCAUUCGCAAAGUGUUGUUCUGACUCAGCUGGGUUCAGAACUGAAGAGACCUGGAGAGUCUGUCCAACUGAAAUGUGCCACCAGCGGAUUUGUCUUGAAUGACUGGUACAUGAGCUGGAUAAGACAGAAGCCAGGGAAGGGACUGGAAUGGCUGGUGACGUAUUGGAAACCUUCACAAACCAAUUACUAUUUGCCUGCCAUCCAAGGACGUUUCACAGCCUCCAAGGAUAGCUCUAAUUUUUAUUUGCAAAUGAACAGUCUGACUGCCGAGGACACUGCUGUAUACUACUGUGCAAGAGACACAGUGACAGCAAAAGUAUCAGAGAUCAAGCAAAAUCCCUUGCAGUGA